RNAcentral lists this ribosomal RNA (253 nucleotides) under uncultured bacterium. Its description in RNAcentral is "partial 16S ribosomal RNA". It matches the Rfam family "Bacterial small subunit ribosomal RNA", at positions 524 to 776 of the family's 1533-position model. The record is from RNAcentral.
UACGAACCGUACAAACGUUAUUCGGAAUCACUGGGCUUAAAGGGUGCGUAGGCGGCCAUGUAAGUGAGGUGUGAAAUCCCUCGGCUCAACCGAGGAACUGCGCUUCAUACUGCAUGGCUUGAGAGAGACAGGGGUAAGCGGAACUGAUGGUGGAGCGGUGAAAUGCGUUGAUAUCAUCAGGAACACCGGUGGCGAAAGCGGCUUACUGGGUCUCUUCUGACGCUGAGGUACGAAAGCUAGGGGAGCGAACGGG